Molecule: ribosomal RNA, 206 nt
Filed under: uncultured bacterium
Lineage: Bacteria
Description: partial 16S ribosomal RNA
Rfam family: Bacterial small subunit ribosomal RNA
Source: RNAcentral
CACGCAGGCGGUUUGUUAAGUCAGAUGUGAAAUCCCCGGGCUCAACCUGGGAACUGCAUCUGAUACUGGCAAGCUUGAGUCUCGUAGAGGGGGUAGAAUUCCAGGUGUAGCGGUGAAAUGCGUAGAGAUCUGGAGGAAUACCGGUGGCGAAGGCGGCCCCCUGGACGAAGACUGACGCUCAGGUACGAAAGCGUGGGGAGCAAACA